Molecule: ribosomal RNA, 2469 nt
Filed under: Triticum aestivum (bread wheat)
Lineage: Eukaryota; Viridiplantae; Streptophyta; Magnoliopsida; Poales; Poaceae
Description: partial small subunit ribosomal RNA
Source: RNAcentral
AUGGUUAGGAGUGUACCGAUUGGUGAGAAGCUCUUCAUAGGAGGAGACCUCAAUGGCCACGUGGGUACAUCUAACACAGGUUUUGAAGGGGCGCAUGGGGGCUUUGGCUAUGACAUCAGGAAUCAAGAAGGAGAAGAUGUCUUAAGCUUUGCUCUAGCCUACAACAUGAUUGUAGCUAACACCCUCUUUAGAAAGAGAGAAUCACAUCUGGUGACUUUUAGUAGUGGCCAACACUCUAGCCAGAUUGAUUUCAUCCUCUCGAGAAGAGAAGAUAGGCGUGCGUGCCUAGACUGUAAGGUGAUACCUGGAGAGAGUGUUGUACCCCAGCAUAAGCUGGUGGUUGCUGACUUCCGCUUUCGGAUUCGUGUCCAGCGGGAUAAGCGUGCCAAAGUCGCUAGAACGAAGUGGUGGAAGCUCAAGGGGGAGGUAGCUCGGGCGUUCAAGGAGAGGGUCAUUAAGGAGGGCCCUUGGGAGGAAGGAGGGGAUGCGGACAAUGUGUGGAUGAAGAUGGCGACUUGCAUUCGUAAGGUGGCCUCGGAGGAGUUUGGAGUGUCCAGGGGAAGGAGAAGCGAAGAUAAGGAUACCUGGUGGUGGAAUGAUGAUAUCCAGAAGACGAUUAAAGAGAAGAAAGAUUGCUUCAGACACCUAUACCUAGAUAGGAGUGCAGGCAACAUAGAGAGGUACAAGAUGGCGAAGAAGGCCGCAAAGCGAGUUGUUGGUGAAGCAAGGGGUCGGGCAUAUGAGGACCUCUACCAACGGUUAGGCACGAAGGAAGGCGAAAGGGACAUCUAUAAGAUGGCCAAGAUCCGAGAGAGGAAGACGAGGGAUAUUGGCCAAGUCAAAUGCAUCAAGGACGGAGCAGGCCAACUCUUGGUGAAGGAUGAGGAGAUUAAGCAUAGAUGGCGGGAGUACUUCGACAAGCUGUUCAAUGGGGAGAAUAAGAGUUCUACCAUUGAACUGGACGACUCCUUUGAUGAGACCAACAUGUGUUUUGUGCGGCGAAUCCAGGAGUCUGAGGUCAAGGAGGCUUUAGAAAGGAUGAAAGGAGGCAAGGCGAUGGGCCCUGAUUGUAUCCCCAUUGAGGUGUGGAAAGGUCUCGGGGACACAGCGAUAGUAUGGCUAACCAAGCUUUUCAACCUCAUUUUUCGGGCAAACAAGAUGCCAGAAGAAUGGAGACGGAGUAUAUUAGUACCAAUCUUCAAGAACAAGGGGGAUGUUCAGAGUUGUACUAAUUACCGUGGAAUUAAGCUGAUGAGCCAUACAAUGAAGCUAUGGGAGAGAGUCAUUGAGCACCGCUUAAGAAGAAUGACAAGCGUGACCAAAAAUCAGUUUGGUUUCAUGCCUGGGAGGUCGACCAUGGAAGCCAUUUUCUUGGUACGACAACUUAUGGAGAGAUAUAGGGAGCAAAAGAAGGACUUGCAUAUGGUGUUCAUUGACUUGGAGAAGGCCUAUGAUAAGAUACCACGGAAUGUCAUGUGGUGGGCCUUGGAGAAACACAAAGUCCCAGCAAAGUACAUUACCCUCAUCAAGGACAUGUACGAUAAUGUUGUGACAAGUGUUCGAACAAGUGAUGUCGACACUAAUGACUUCCCGAUUAAGAUAGGACUGCAUCAGGGGUCAGCUUUGAGCCCUUAUCUUUUUGCAUUGGUGAUGGAUGAGGUCACAAGGGAUAUACAAGGAGAUAUCCCAUGGUGUAUGCUCUUUGCGGAUGAUGUGGUGCUAGUUGACGAUAGUCGGACGGGGGUAAAUAGGAAGUUAGAGUUAUGGAGACAAACCUUGGAAUCAAAAGGGUUUAGGCUUAGUAGAACUAAAACCGAGUACAUGAUGUGCAGUUUCAGUACUACUAGGUGUGAGGAGGAGGAGGUUAGCCUUGAUGGCCAGGUGGUUCCCCAGAAGGACACCUUUCGGUAUUUGGGGUCAAUGCUGCAGGGGGAUGUGGGUAUUGAUGAAGAUGUGAACCAUCGAAUCAAAGCCGGAUGGAUGAAGUGGCGCCAAGCUUCUGGCAUUCUCUGUGACAAGAGAGUGCCACAAAAGCUAAAAGGCAAGUUCUACAGGACGGCGCUUCGACCCGCAAUGUUGUAUGGCGCUGAGUGUUGGCCGACUAAAAGGCGACAUGUUCAACAGUUAGGUGUGGCGGAGAUGCGUAUGUUGAGAUGGAUGUGUGGCCACACGAGGAAGGAUCGAGUCUGGAAUGAUGAUAUACGAGAUAGAUUUGGGGUAGCACCAAUUGAAGAGAAGCUUGUCCAACAUCGUCUGAGAUGGUUUGGGCAUAUUCAGCGCAGGCCUCCAGAAGCUCCAGUGCAUAGCGGACGGCUAAAGCGUGCGGAGAAUGUCGAGAGAGGGCGGGGUAGACCGAAUUUGACAUGGGAGGAGUCCGUUAAGAGAGACCUGAAGGAUUGGAGUAUCACCAAAGAGCUAGCUAUGGAUAGGGGUGCGUGGAAGCUUGCUAUCCAUGUGCCAGAGCCAUGA